This 666-nucleotide ribosomal RNA is filed under the name Dicrotendipes saetanumerosus. RNAcentral describes it as "partial 28S ribosomal RNA". It matches the Rfam family "Eukaryotic large subunit ribosomal RNA", at positions 386 to 944 of the family's 3401-position model. Lineage: Eukaryota; Metazoa; Arthropoda; Insecta; Diptera; Chironomidae. The record is from RNAcentral.
UGUCUAGGGGCUCAAACCUAAAGAACCCAAAUAUCUAAACGGAGAAAUUCAAUACUACCGUUAAACGUAGUGUGCACUUUUCUCUUAGUAAGACGCCGUGAUCCAUUAGAAAUUGAURCAUUCAAAAUGUAUAUUGGGUCAUCAAUAGGCCAGUAUGAAGUUUAUCGGAACAAAUGGCAUGAUCUUUCACGGUUGUGUGUAUUGUCUGUUAAGCAUAUUGUGUCCUGUAAUGACUGUCUGAUGGAUUUUAAAGACUAAUAUCAAUGAUGUUACGGCAUCACUUGCCUCRGCGAGUAUGUAUGUGUCUGAUCAACGGCGGUUAAAUUUGGGAUACCUUUUGGACCCGUCUUGAAACACGGACCAAGGAGUCUAUCUAGUAUGCGAGUAAAUGGAUAGUUUAUGAAAUCUAUUUGCGUAAUAAACUUGACUGUUCAAUGGGACUACGAGUAUCGUUAAAAAAUACUCUUCCAUCCCGGGGUAUUUUUAUCAACAUAUGCUUGCAUAUGGAAAAUAUACCAUGAGCACACUGGAUACGACCCGAAAGAUGGUGAACUAUGCUUGAUCAGGUCGAAGUCAGGGGAAACCCUGAUGGAGGACCGAAGCAGUUCUGACGUGCAAAUCGAUUGUCAGAAUUGAGCAUAGGGGCGAAAGACCAAUCGAACCAUC